GCUAGAGGUCUUAGUCCCAGAGGGAGGAAUGCUGCCACCAAGAGACACAACAACGAUUCCAUUAAACUGGAAGUUAAGAUUGCCACCUGGACACUUCGUGCUCCUCCUACCUUCAAGUCAACAGGCUAAGAAAGGAGUUACAGUGUUGGCUGUGGUGAUUGACUUGGACUAUCAAGAUGAAAUCAGUCUACUACUGCACAACAGAGACAAAACCACAGUCAACAUGAAUUCCAAGUGGUAACACUUAGUGUCCUGGGAUGGAGUGCUGAGAGAAAUCCGGAGGAUUCAGAGAAGAUGACCAAAAAGGACUACUUCACAGGGCUCCCAUGUGCUCAGCUUGCAAUUGGAUUCAGCCACCAGAGAUCCCUGGCAAGAGAAUAAAGGUGGGUAGGAAAGCAAGGAUGAGCUAUUUGUGUAUCUAUCUUCCACCUGUAUGAUUCCUUUGGAUUGUCUAUGUCUUACUUACAAAGGUUCCUGCUGUCUUCAAAGUUGUCCCUCUCCACAGAGCUUUCUUGUCUCCAAUUAUGGACACCACUCUCUUACCUUAUCCUUUCAAGCUUCAGCUUAGUAAUAGUUAUUACUUACCCUGAGUUUACACAAUAACCUGUAUUUUACAAACAUUUUGCCCACA
RNAcentral lists this long non-coding RNA (631 nucleotides) under Homo sapiens (human). RNAcentral describes it as "HSALNT0092163". Lineage: Eukaryota; Metazoa; Chordata; Mammalia; Primates; Hominidae. The record is from RNAcentral.